RNA transcript from Brienomyrus brachyistius, 1654 nucleotides. It is a transcript of the gene named keratin, type I cytoskeletal 18-like, with no coding region annotated. The transcript has 8 exons. The record is from RefSeq and is a predicted model, not a curated record. NCBI's taxonomy places the organism in Eukaryota, Metazoa, Chordata, Actinopteri, Osteoglossiformes, Mormyridae.
CCUGCACAGAUACUGCCCUGUGUCUCUCUGAGCUGAAGUUAGCACAGUCUUCUGUUCACCUCCAGAGUUCCUCCUCCUCUGUCUCCAGCAAAAUGAGUUUCUCCUCAUCUUACAGCGUCCGCUCCUCCAGCCACGUGCCCUCGGCGUACGUCUCCCAGACCCGCUCAGCUCCCAUCUACCGAGCUGCCAGCAUUUUCGCGGGCGCUGGGGGUAGGGGGGCUCGUGUCUCCUCCGCCCCCGGGAGUACCCUUUCUUCCAGCAUCCAGGUGAGUGCCAGCAGCGAUGCGGGCGCCAUCAUGGGCAACGAGAAGAUGGCCAUGCAGAACCUAAACGAUCGGCUGGCCAGUUACCUGGAGAUGGUGCGAAACCUGGAGCAAGCUAACAGCAAGCUGGAGAUCAAGAUCCGGGAGGCCCUGGAGAAGAGUGGCCCGGAAGUGCGUGACUACAGCCGGUACAAUGCCAUCCUGGAUGACCUGCGCAAGAAGGUGUUCGAUGCUACGGUGGACAAUGCUCGUCUUGUGCUCCAGAUUGACAACGCGCGCUUGGCUGCUGAUGAUUUCAGAGUCAAGUAUGAGUCUGAGCUCUCCAUCCGGCAGUCAGUCGAGGCCGAUAUCAUAGGUCUCCGGAAGGUGAUCGAUGACACCAACAUCGGCCGCCUGAACCUUGAGAGUGAAAUCGAGGCUCUGAAGGAGGAACUGAUCUUCCUCAAGAAGAACCAUGAUAGUGAAGUUCUGGAGCUGCACAACCAGAUCUCUCAGUCGGGAGUGCAGGUGGAUGUGGACGCCCCCAAGGGACAGGACCUGUCUCAGGUCUUGGCAGAGAUCAGAAGCAAAUAUGAGAAAAUGGCACAGAAGAACCAGGAGGAGCUGAAAGCCUGGCAUGAAACGCAAUUAUCAGAGGUCCAAGUGCAGGUGACGCAGAACACGGAGGCCCUGCAGGGUGCCGUCACAGAGGUGAAUGACCUGCGUAGGCAGGUGCAGACGCUGGAGAUUGAGCUGGAGUCCCAGAAGAAUCUGAAAGGCUCCCUGGAAGGCACACUGCAUGACACAGAGCUGCGCUACAACAUGGAGGUGGAGAAGUACAACACCAUCAUUGUGCAGCUGGAGGCCGAGCUGAUGCAGCUCCGCAACAGCAUCCAGCAGCAGUCUCAGGAAUACGAGACCCUGCUGAACAUCAAGAUGAAGCUCGAGGCUGAGAUCGCCACCUACAGGAGGCUGCUGGACGGCGGCGACUUCAAGCUACAGGAUGCCCUGGAGGAUCAGAAAACCACCAAGACCAAAGUGAUGACUGUGACACAGACCCUAGUGGAUGGGAAGGUGGUGUCCACAGAGACGAAAGAGAGGACAACAUAAACGUCCAUAGCCACUCAUGCCCCAGCCCCAUGCCCAAAAGUGUGGCCUAGUACUACUCUUUUUCAGCAACCAAUGACACAGCAUGACUGGAUAUUGACACCCCUUCCCUAGAUUUAUCAAAUAAAAAUAUGAGGUGAAGAAAUAUGGAUCAGUAGUUACAGUACAAAUGAUGGCCAUUUCCUGCAAUUGGUCAUUUGACCCCUUCCAACCACUGUUACAGAUUUUAUAAUCAUCAACCAAGACUGUCAACUGUUAAUCACUUGUAUGGGGUGUCUCAAUAAAGGUGCUUGAGUACAUUUUUA